GACGAACGCUGGCGGCGUGCUUAACACAUGCAAGUCGAACGGAAAGGCCCUGCUUUUGUGGGGUGCUCGAGUGGCGAACGGGUGAGUAACACGUGAGUAACCUGCCCUUGACUUUGGGAUAACUUCAGGAAACUGGGGCUAAUACCGGAUAGGAGCUCCUGCUGCAUGGUGGGGGUUGGAAAGUUUCGGCGGUUGGGGAUGGACUCGCGGCUUAUCAGCCUGUUGGUGGGGUAGUGGCUUACCAAGGCUUUGACGGGUAGCCGGCCUGCGAGGGUGACCGGCCACAUUGGGACUGAGAUACGACCCAGACUCCUACGGGAGGCAGCAGUGGGGAAUAUUGCACAAUGGGCGGAAGCAUGAUGCAGCAACGCCGCGUGCGGGAUGACGGCCUUCGGGUUGUAAACCGCUUUCGCCUGUGACGAAGCGUGAGUGACGGUAAUGGGUAAAGAAGCACCGGCUAACUACGUG
RNAcentral lists this ribosomal RNA (468 nucleotides) under uncultured bacterium. RNAcentral's name for it is "partial 16S ribosomal RNA". It matches the Rfam family "Bacterial small subunit ribosomal RNA", at positions 28 to 507 of the family's 1533-position model. The record is from RNAcentral.